This 559-nucleotide ribosomal RNA is filed under the name Candida tropicalis. RNAcentral describes it as "LSU rRNA". It matches the Rfam family "Eukaryotic large subunit ribosomal RNA", at positions 56 to 636 of the family's 3401-position model. Lineage: Eukaryota; Fungi; Ascomycota; Pichiomycetes; Serinales; Debaryomycetaceae. The record is from RNAcentral.
AAGAACUACAGGGAUUGCCUUAGUAGCGGCGAGUGAAGCGGCAAAAGCUCAAAUUUGAAAUCUGGCUCUUUCAGAGUCCGAGUUGUAAUUUGAAGAAGGUAUCUUUGGGUCUGGCUCUUGUCUAUGUUUCUUGGAACAGAACGUCACAGAGGGUGAGAAUCCCGUGCGAUGAGAUGAUCCAGGCCUAUGUAAAGUUCCUUCGAAGAGUCGAGUUGUUUGGGAAUGCAGCUCUAAGUGGGUGGUAAAUUCCAUCUAAAGCUAAAUAUUGGCGAGAGACCGAUAGCGAACAAGUACAGUGAUGGAAAGAUGAAAAGAACUUUGAAAAGAGAGUGAAAAAGUACGUGAAAUUGUUGAAAGGGAAGGGCUUGAGAUCAGACUUGGUAUUUUGUAUGUUACUUCUUCGGGGGUGGCCUCUACAGUUUAUCGGGCCAGCAUCAGUUUGGGCGGUAGGAGAAUUGCGUUGGAAUGUGGCACGGCUUCGGUUGUGUGUUAUAGCCUUCGUCGAUACUGCCAGCCUAGACUGAGGACUGCGGUUUAUACCUAGGAUGUUGGCAUAAUG